Molecule: non-coding RNA, 95 nt
Organism: Lyophyllum atratum
Lineage: Eukaryota; Fungi; Basidiomycota; Agaricomycetes; Agaricales; Lyophyllaceae
Source: the annotation of a GenBank genome assembly
UCUUUGCUAGUAUAUCGGUUAGUACACGCGCUUGUCAUGAAUCUUCUGUAUGUUCUCAUGCGCGCGAAAGCUGGGUUCGACUCCCAGGCAGAGAG